RNAcentral lists this unclassified non-coding RNA (509 nucleotides) under Amphimedon queenslandica. RNAcentral's name for it is "uncharacterized LOC109581493, transcript variant X1". The record is from RNAcentral. Lineage: Eukaryota; Metazoa; Porifera; Demospongiae; Haplosclerida; Niphatidae.
UAGAAUGGUAGUUUAAGUGCCUGCCAGUUGUUGAUCAAUUUGUGUGUGCUUCAAGGUUAUAGCAUGACUGAUCAAUCUCGUCAGGAAAUUAGACAUCUUUCAUCAACUUUGCCUAAUCUAGUCCCUGAAGUAUAUUAUGCUCAGUUUGGUGCUCAGCAGUAUUUAACUAACACAGCCAUUAAUACUGUUUUUUCUACAUCAGUGAUGAUAGCUCUCAGUGGCAGUUUGUGAGACGUUUCUAUACCCACCAGUCAGUCACUGGCACUCCAUCAUAUCUUGAAUACACUGAAAUCAAUAUACAGUUAACCAGUCGUGGUCACAUUCAGUCUCCAUAUCUUAGACUCUCCUAUCAGGCUAUACCUACCAAUGAUGCACAAGCUUCAUUUGUUGUUAGAUACAGUGGAGGAAAUAAUGCUUUUAAUAUUGCUUUAUUAGUAAUAGCUAGUGUGUUUGUUACUCUAACUGCAGUCUAUGCUGGCUAGUUCAUAAUCGUAUUAGUAAAUAAUAUU